GGGAUAAGCCUGGGAAACUGGGUCUAAUACCGGAUAUGACUCCUCAUCGCAUGGUGGGGGGUGGAAAGCUUUAUUGUGGUUUUGGAUGGACUCGCGGCCUAUCAGCUUGUUGGUGAGGUAAUGGCUCACCAAGGCGACGACGGGUAGCCGGCCUGAGAGGGUGACCGGCCACACUGGGACUGAGACACGGCCCAGACUCCUACGGGAGGCAGCAGUGGGGAAUAUUGCACAAUGGGCGAAAGCCUGAUGCAGCGACGCCGCGUGAGGGAUGACGGCCUUCGGGUUGUAAACCUCUUUCAGUAGGGAAGAAGCGAAAGUGACGGUACCUGCAGAAGAAGCGCCGGCUAACUACGUGCCAGCAGCCGCGGUAAUACGUAGGGCGCAAGCGUUAUCCGGAAUUAUUGGGCGUAAAGAGCUCGUAGGCGGUUUGUCGCGUCUGCCGUGAAAGUCCGGGGCUCAACUCCGGAUCUGCGGUGGGUACGGGCAGACUAGAGUGAUGUAGGGGAGACUGGAAUUCCUGGUGUAGCGGUGAAAUGCGCAGAUAUCAGGAGGAACACCGAUGGCGAAGGCAGGUCUCUGGGCAUUAACUGACGCUGAGGAGCGAAAGCAUGGGGAGCGAACAGGAUUAGAUACCCUGGUAGUCCAUGCCGUAAACGUUGGGCACUAGGUGUGGGGGACAUUCCACGUUUUCCGCGCCGUAGCUAACGCAUUAAGUGCCCCGCCUGGGGAGUACGGCCGCAAGGCUAAAACUCAAAGGAAUUGACGGGGGCCCGCACAAGCGGCGGAGCAUGCGGAUUAAUUCGAUGCAACGCGAAGAACCUUACCAAGGCUUGACAUGAACCGGAAAUACCUGGAAACAGGUGCCCCGCUUGCGGUCGGUUUACAGGUGGUGCAUGGUUGUCGUCAGCUCGUGUCGUGAGAUGUUGGGUUAAGUCCCGCAACGAGCGCAACCCUCGUUCUAUGUUGCCAGCGCGUUAUGGCGGGGACUCAUAGGAGACUGCCGGGGUCAACUCGGAGGAAGGUGGGGACGACGUCAAAUCAUCAUGCCCCUUAUGUCUUGGGCUUCACGCAUGCUACAAUGGCCGGUACAAAGGGUUGCGAUACUGUGAGGUGGAGCUAAUCCCAAAAAGCCGGUCUCAGUUCGGAUUGGGGUCUGCAACUCGACCCCAUGAAGUCGGAGUCGCUAGUAAUCGCAGAUCAGCAACGCUGCGGUGAAUACGUUCCCGGGCCUUGUACACACCGCCCGUCAAGUCA
RNAcentral lists this ribosomal RNA (1254 nucleotides) under Arthrobacter ginsengisoli. RNAcentral describes it as "bacterial SSU rRNA". It matches the Rfam family "Bacterial small subunit ribosomal RNA", at positions 140 to 1404 of the family's 1533-position model. The record is from RNAcentral. Lineage: Bacteria; Bacillati; Actinomycetota; Actinomycetes; Micrococcales; Micrococcaceae.